CCGCGGUAAUACGAAGGGGGCUAGCGUUGUUCGGAAUCACUGGGCGUAAAGCGCACGUAGGCGGAUCUUUAAGUCAGGGGUGAAAUCCCGGGGCUCAACCCCGGAACUGCCUUUGAUACUGGGGAUCUCGAGUUCGGGAGAGGUGAGUGGAACUGCGAGUGUAGAGGUGAAAUUCGUAGAUAUUCGCAAGAACACCAGUGGCGAAGGCGGCUCACUGGCCCGAUACUGACGCUGAGGUGCGAAAGCGUGG
This 250-nucleotide ribosomal RNA is filed under the name uncultured bacterium. RNAcentral's name for it is "partial 16S ribosomal RNA". It matches the Rfam family "Bacterial small subunit ribosomal RNA", at positions 515 to 764 of the family's 1533-position model. The record is from RNAcentral.